RNAcentral lists this non-coding RNA (27 nucleotides) under Mus musculus (house mouse). The record is from RNAcentral. Lineage: Eukaryota; Metazoa; Chordata; Mammalia; Rodentia; Muridae.
UCCUCACCAAUUGUCAUAGACAGACAU